GUCCUUGCCGUAAACGAUGUAUACUUGGUGUAACUGGAAUCAACCCCGGUUGUGCCGUAGCUAACGCGAUAAGUAUACCGCCUGGGGAGUACGCUCGCAAGGGUGAAACUCAAAAGAAUUGACGGGGACCCGCACAAGCAGUGGAGCAUGUGGUUUAAUUCGAUGCAACGCUAAGAACCUUACCCAGACUUGACAUGCAGUGGAAGUUAACAGAAAUGUUAACGCCUUUCGGGGCUGCUGCACAGGUGCUGCAUGGCUGUCGU
This 263-nucleotide ribosomal RNA is filed under the name uncultured bacterium. RNAcentral describes it as "partial 16S ribosomal RNA". It matches the Rfam family "Bacterial small subunit ribosomal RNA", at positions 793 to 1055 of the family's 1533-position model. The record is from RNAcentral.